Molecule: long non-coding RNA, 311 nt
Organism: Schistocerca piceifrons (Central American locust)
Lineage: Eukaryota; Metazoa; Arthropoda; Insecta; Orthoptera; Acrididae
Exons: 2
Source: RefSeq, a predicted model, not a curated record
GAGGUGAACUGCACUCCAGGAACGACCUUCAAGGACAAGUGUAACACCUGCCGCUGCAGCUCCAAUGGCAGGAGCGCCGCCUGCACCUUGAAAGCGUGUCCCCCUGGCUCGUAUUAACCAGCGUUCGUCCGUGAAGGUGACAGAUUGUGUGAUAAGUUCUCUGCAGUCAAAAGAAACAACGCCAUUUCUGUGAUGUGGACCUCCGUCUUUAAUCUCGGCGGCGAAUUUUCAUCUACUUCCAAUUUGUUAUUUGUAAUUUCCUUAUCGUCUUCAAGCAUAAAAAAUAAACACAAUGGUUGUAAUCCAUCAAA